Molecule: ribosomal RNA, 439 nt
Filed under: uncultured bacterium
Lineage: Bacteria
Description: partial 16S ribosomal RNA
Rfam family: Bacterial small subunit ribosomal RNA
Source: RNAcentral
CUACGGGUGGCUGCAGUGAGGAAUAUUGCACAAUGGGGGGAACCCUGAUGCAGCAACGCCGCGUGGAGGAUGACGCAUUUCGGUGUGUAAACUCCUUUUAUAUGUCAAGAAAAUGACGGUAGCAUAUGAAUAAGCACCGGCUAACUCCGUGCCAGCAGCCGCGGUAAUACGGAGGGUGCAAGCGUUACUCGGAAUCACUGGGCGUAAAGGACGCGUAGGCGGGUUGGAAAGUCAGGUGUGAAAUCCUACAGCUUAACUGUAGAACUGCACUUGAAACUUCUAAUCUAGAGUAUGGGAAGGGGGGAUGGAAUUAGUGGUGUAGGGGUAACAUCCGUAGAUAUCACUAGGAAUACCUAAAGCGAAGGCGAUCUCCUGGAACAUUACUGACGCUAAGGCGUGAAAGCGUGGGGAGCAAACAGGAUUAGAUACCCGAGUAGUC